GGGGGGGGGGGGGGGGGGGGGUAGCGCAUGCGAGGCGAACGGAAAGGCCCGGCUUGUGUGGGGGGCUCGAGGGGCGAACGGGUGAGUCACACGGGAGUAACCUGCCCUUGACUUGGGGAUAACUUCAGGAAACUGGGGCUAAUACCGGAUAGGAGCUGCUGCUGCAUGGUGGGGGUUGGAAAGUUUCGGCGGUUGGGGAUGGACUCGCGGCGUAUCAGCUUGUUGGUGGGGUAGUGGCUUACCAAGGCUUUGACGGGUAGCCGGCCUGCGCGGGUGACCGGCCACAUUGGGACUGAGAUACGGCCCAGACUCCUACGGGAGGCAGCAGUGGGGAAUAUUGCACAAUGGGCGGAAGCCUGAUGCAGCAACGCCGCGUGCGGGAUGACGGCCUUCGGGUUGUAAACCGCUUUCGCCUGUGACGAAGCGUGAGUGACGGUAAUGGGUAAAGAAGCACCGGCUAACUACGUG
RNAcentral lists this ribosomal RNA (468 nucleotides) under uncultured bacterium. RNAcentral describes it as "partial 16S ribosomal RNA". It matches the Rfam family "Bacterial small subunit ribosomal RNA", at positions 38 to 507 of the family's 1533-position model. The record is from RNAcentral.